This 69-nucleotide transfer RNA is filed under the name Rattus norvegicus (Norway rat). It matches the Rfam family "tRNA". Rfam says of the family: Transfer RNA (tRNA) molecules are approximately 80 nucleotides in length. Lineage: Eukaryota; Metazoa; Chordata; Mammalia; Rodentia; Muridae. The record is from Rfam by way of RNAcentral.
GGGGAUUUAGCACAGUGGUAGAGCGCUUGCCUAGCAAGCAUAAGGCCCUGGGUUCGGUCCCCAGCUCCG